AACGAACGCUGGCGGCAGGCUUAACACAUGCAAGUCGAGCGCCCCGCAAGGGGAGCGGCAGACGGGUGAGUAACGCGUGGGAACGUACCUUUUGGUUCGGAACAACUCCGGGAAACUGGAGCUAAUUCCGGAUAAGCCCUAACGGGGAAAGAUUUAUCGCCGAAAGAUCGGCCCGCGUCUGAUUAGCUAGUUGGUGAGGUAACGGCUCACCAAGGGGACGAUCAGUAGCUGGUCUGAGAGGAUGAGCAGCCACACUGGGACUGAGACACGGCCCAGACUCCUGCGGGAGGCAGCAGUGGGGAAUAUUGGACAAUGGGCGCAAGCCUGAUCCAGCCAUGCCGCGUGAGUGAUGAAGGCCUUAGGGUUGUAAAGCUCUUUUGUCCGGGAAGAUAAUGACUGUACCGGAAGAAUAAGCCCCGGCUAACUUCGUG
Molecule: ribosomal RNA, 431 nt
Filed under: uncultured bacterium
Lineage: Bacteria
Description: partial 16S ribosomal RNA
Rfam family: Bacterial small subunit ribosomal RNA
Source: RNAcentral